This 468-nucleotide ribosomal RNA is filed under the name uncultured bacterium. RNAcentral's name for it is "partial 16S ribosomal RNA". It matches the Rfam family "Bacterial small subunit ribosomal RNA", at positions 28 to 507 of the family's 1533-position model. The record is from RNAcentral.
GACGAACGCUGGCGGCGUGCUUAACACAUGCAAGUCGAACGGAAAGGCCCUGCUUUUGUGGGGUGCUCGAGUGGCGAACGGGUGAGUAACACGUGAGUAACCUGCCCUUGACUUUGGGAUAACUUCAGGAAACUGGGGCUAAUACCGGAUAGGAGCUCCUGCUGCAUGGUGGGGGUUGGAAAGUUUCGGAGGUUGGGGAUGGACUCGCGGCUUAUCAGCUUGUUGGUGGGGUAGUGGCUUACCAAGGCUUUGACGGGUAGCCGGCCUGAGAGGGUGACCGGCCACAUUGGGACUGAGAUACGGCCCAGACUCAUACGGGAGGCAGCAGUGGGGAAGAUUGCACAAUGGGCGGAAGCCUGAUGCAGCAACGCCGCGUGCGGGAUGACGGCCUUCGGGUUGUAAACCGCUUUCGCCUGUGACGAAGCGUGAGUGACGGUAAUGGGUAAAGAAGCACCGGCUAACUACGUG